GGGGUUGUAGCUCAGUGGUAGAGUGCUUGCCUAGUAUGUGUGAGUCACUGGGUUCAAUUCUCAGCACCA
Molecule: transfer RNA, 69 nt
Filed under: Urocitellus parryii (Arctic ground squirrel)
Lineage: Eukaryota; Metazoa; Chordata; Mammalia; Rodentia; Sciuridae
Also listed under: 2 other names
Description: Spermophilus parryii (Arctic ground squirrel) tRNA
Rfam family: tRNA
About the family: Transfer RNA (tRNA) molecules are approximately 80 nucleotides in length. Their secondary structure includes four short double-helical elements and three loops (D, anti-codon, and T loops). Further hydrogen bonds mediate the characteristic L-shaped molecular structure. tRNAs have two regions of fundamental functional importance: the anti-codon, which is responsible for specific mRNA codon recognition, and the 3' end, to which the tRNAs corresponding amino acid is attached (by aminoacyl-tRNA synthetases). tRNAs cope with the degeneracy of the genetic code in two manners: having more than one tRNA (with a specific anti-codon) for a particular amino acid; and 'wobble' base-pairing, i.e. permitting non-standard base-pairing at the 3rd anti-codon position.
Source: Rfam by way of RNAcentral